RNAcentral lists this ribosomal RNA (396 nucleotides) under uncultured bacterium. Its description in RNAcentral is "bacterial SSU rRNA". It matches the Rfam family "Bacterial small subunit ribosomal RNA", at positions 28 to 429 of the family's 1533-position model. The record is from RNAcentral.
GAUGAACGCUAGCGGCAGGCCUAAUACAUGCAAGUCGAACGGUAACAGGCCUUCGGGUGCUGACGAGUGGCGAACGGGUGAGUAAUGCAUCGGAACGUGCCCAAUCGUGGGGGAUAACGUAGCGAAAGUUACGCUAAUACCGCAUACGACCUACGGGUGAAAGUGGGGGACCUUCGGGCCUCACGCGAUGAGAUGAGCCGAUGCCGGAUUAGCUAGUUGGCGGGGUAAAGGCCCACCAAGGCGACGAUCCGUAGCUGGUCUGAGAGGAUGAUCAGCCACACUGGAACUGAGACACGGUCCAGACUCCUACGGGAGGCAGCAGUGGGGAAUAUUGGACAAUGGGCGCAAGCCUGAUCCAGCCAUGCCGCGUGUGUGAAGAAGGCCUUCGGUUGUAAG